Molecule: non-coding RNA, 213 nt
Organism: Pelobates cultripes (western spadefoot toad)
Lineage: Eukaryota; Metazoa; Chordata; Amphibia; Anura; Pelobatidae
Source: the annotation of a GenBank genome assembly
GUUAGGAUAGCCUUAUGCCUAUCCCACGCAUGCUUAAACUCCUUUACUGUGUUAACCUCUACCACUUCAGCUGGAAGGCUAUUCCAUGCAUCCACUACCCUCUCAGUGAAGUAAUACUUCCUGAUAUUAUUUUUAAACCUUUGUCCCUCUAAUUUAAGACUAUGUCCUCUUGUUUUGGUAGUGUUUCUUCUUUUAAAUAUAGUCUCCUCCUUU